This is a non-coding RNA of Meleagris gallopavo (turkey), 669 nucleotides long. NCBI's taxonomy places the organism in Eukaryota, Metazoa, Chordata, Aves, Galliformes, Phasianidae. The record is from the annotation of a RefSeq genome assembly.
AUGGCUGCAAAUGCUUCCUGAUCCUAUCGGCAGGUAGAGCAGCCUCAUUGGGAAUCACAGAAAGAAGUGAUUUCCACUGCUCGGAUCUGCUUUGGGACCUCUCGAGGGUGCGACUGAGGCUGUCCACGCAGGGAAGCCCGAAGGAGAGCAGCGACCAUGUGGCUGCUGACAGCUCUCAUGCUGGCAGUUGGUUUCUCCUGUGGCUCUGCACAAGCCCUGCAGCAAAGUCCAGCGGCCGUCACCAAGCCUGAAAGCAAAACGGCGCUCAUCACCUGCCGCAUCUCCAUCUCCAACUUUGACAAAGUCUUCAUUCACUGGUACCGCAAGAGGCCUGGGGCAGCUCCCAAGCGCAUUGCCUACAUGGCGACCAGGCUGUUCCUUGAGAAGGAGUCGGAUGAGGGGAAAUUCAGCAUCGAGAAGGACCUCGCCAAAUCCCAGUGCACCCUGACAGUGGGCAGACUCACUGCGCAAGACGCUGCUACCUACUACUGUGCCAGAUGGGAUGCACAGCAGCAGAGAGCCAUAGGGAACCUGCACAAAGACACGCUCUGCUUCUUGAGCCACGGCCUAGAAUGCCAGAAGACUUGUGGGAAUGGCCUCUCCUUCCCUCUGCAUCUUUAUUCUAGGCAAAUCCUAUGUGGGCUCUAAAACGUUUGCGUUUCUUGCACC